Molecule: ribosomal RNA, 332 nt
Filed under: uncultured eukaryote
Lineage: Eukaryota
Description: partial 18S ribosomal RNA
Rfam family: Eukaryotic small subunit ribosomal RNA
Source: RNAcentral
CCCUUAGAUGUUCUGGGCUGCACACGUGCUACACUCGCAGGUUCAGCGAGCUUCAUGCCCUGAUCUGAAAGGAAUGGGAAAUCUUUUCAAAACCUGCCGUGCUUGGGAUAGAUGUUUGCAAUUAUUCAUCUUCAACGAGGAUUGCCUUGUAAGCGCACGUCAUCAGCGUGCAUUGAAUACGACCCUGUAUUCUGUACACACCGCCCGUCGCUCCUACCGAUUGAAGUUUUCGGUGAGUUGACAGGAGGAUUUUUUUGAAACUGGUUCGCCAGUGGAUUUUAGAUCCAAAUGCCAACGAAUCGAUGGCUUUAGAGGAAGGAGAAGUCGUAACA